AUUUAACAUGAACAGUGAUGCUUUACUCCAAACUUCAAAACAAGUGAUUCAUUUUCUGGAAUAAGAUAAGGGGAGUCAGUACUCACAUUACCAGGCUAAUAACCUUCACCCAGCUUAUGGAUUGCAACCCAUUCCGACUGGACCAACUCUGGGACAACCAUGUGUACCGGGACCACCACCAACAUAUCUGGAGGCUGCAGGUCAGUUUCCUGCUCCCUUCAGCCAGGCUGCAUAUGACGGAUGUCAGAUCAUGUACGAUCUACAACCACCGGUUCAACCAGCGGUUCCCACAGACCACACCUCACCUCAACCGCCAUACAACCCCGAUUACGUGAAAUCCCCAGAGACCAGUUAAACCACCACACACACACAAAAAAUGGCCAGUUAUCAACACUGGAUUGUGGAGGGUUUCGCAUU
This is a long non-coding RNA of Sinocyclocheilus anshuiensis, 417 nucleotides long. RefSeq lists it as uncharacterized. The record is from RefSeq and is a predicted model, not a curated record. The transcript has 3 exons. NCBI's taxonomy places the organism in Eukaryota, Metazoa, Chordata, Actinopteri, Cypriniformes, Cyprinidae.